CCGAGUGACGUGUGUCCUCGGGAAUUUGCUUCGCGUCGUCAAAGGUCGCGACGUCCUACGCGGGAAUGUGCGCGUAUUUCUCACGAUUUCGUGUGUUCAGCAUUGUGUAUUUCACCGUGGUGAUUAUGGAAUUGCGAUGUGCGAUGGCUUCGAUCUGCGGACAGCUUGAAGAGCGACUGAUGCAGGUCCGGCAACAUUUGGCGUACUUGGCUGAUCGACUUCAACCACCGACCGGAACUUGGAAGGCUGGAAAGUAUCCUGCAGAUCGAGGAAACCCCUGAUAACCUGACGCUGCUUCAGAUUCGUUUCACCAUCAAGGUUGCACGUAUCGAGAUAAGCUAAUCCCUGAGGAUCGCUGCUUCUCAGAAGCAAAAGAUCGGCCGGUACCAGUUCGUUGUUCGAGAGGUGAACCAGGUCGCCCACCUUGACAUCCUUCCACGCCACCUUCAUGUAUCUGUCGCCUUCGCUACAAUGAAAUCACAAGAGAAAUCUCUCGUCAAGAAACUAAGGCACUACUUUUGAGUGUUAUUUAAGCGACCACAUCGAAAAAGGUCAAGAAGGAGAAGAGAGGGCAGAGAAAAAAGAAACUGAUUGUACUCGAACGAUCUCCAUGCUUUACGCUACAUCGUGACGGAU
Long non-coding RNA from Camponotus floridanus (Florida carpenter ant), 636 nucleotides. RefSeq lists it as uncharacterized. The record is from RefSeq and is a predicted model, not a curated record. The transcript is spliced from 3 exons. Lineage: Eukaryota; Metazoa; Arthropoda; Insecta; Hymenoptera; Formicidae.